GACGAACGCUGGCGGCGUGCUUAACACAUGCAAGUCGAACGCUGAAGCUCAGCUUGCUGGGUGGAUGAGUGGCGAACGGGUGAGUAACACGUGAGUAACCUGCCCUCUUCUUUGGGAUAACGCCCGGAAACGGGUGCUAAUACUGGAUAUUCACUGAUUCUCGCAUGGGGGUUGGUGGAAAGGUUUUUACUGGUGGGGGAUGGGCUCGCGGCCUAUCAGCUUGUUGGUGGGGUGAUGGCCUACCAAGGCUUUGACGGGUAGCCGGCCUGAGAGGGUGACCGGUCACAUUGGGACUGAGAUACGGCCCAGACUCCUACGGGAGGCAGCAGUGGGGAAUAUUGCACAAUGGGCGAAAGCCUGAUGCAGCGACGCCGCGUGAGGGAUGGAGGCCUUCGGGUUGUAAACCUCUUUCGCUCAUGGUCAAGCCGCAGCUUUGGGUUGUGGUGAGGGUAGUGGGUAAAGAAGCGCCGGCUAACUACGUG
This 482-nucleotide ribosomal RNA is filed under the name uncultured bacterium. RNAcentral's name for it is "partial 16S ribosomal RNA". It matches the Rfam family "Bacterial small subunit ribosomal RNA", at positions 28 to 507 of the family's 1533-position model. The record is from RNAcentral.